AACUCUAGACGGGGGAUCACUUCGGCUCUGUGCGUCGAUGAAGAGCGCAGCCAGCUGCGUUACUUAAUGUGAAUUGCAGGACACAUUGAACAUCGACAUCUUGAACGCAUAUUGCGGCCUCGGGUCCAUCCCGGGGCCACGCCUGUCUGAGGGUCG
Molecule: ribosomal RNA, 156 nt
Filed under: Haliotis rubra (blacklip abalone)
Lineage: Eukaryota; Metazoa; Mollusca; Gastropoda; Lepetellida; Haliotidae
Description: 5.8S ribosomal RNA
Rfam family: 5.8S ribosomal RNA
About the family: 5.8S ribosomal RNA (5.8S rRNA) is a component of the large subunit of the eukaryotic ribosome.
Source: RNAcentral